GAUGAACGCUGGCGGCGUGCUUAACACAUGCAAGUCGAACGGAAAGGCCAGUGCUUGCACUGGUACUCGAGUGGCGAACGGGUGAGUAACACGUGGGUGAUCUGCCCUGUACUUCGGGAUAAGCUUGGGAAACUGGGUCUAAUACCGGAUAGGACAACUUUUUGGAUAUUGUUGUGGAAAGCUUUUGCGGUAUGGGAUGAGCUCGCGGCCUAUCAGCUUGUUGGUGGGGUAAUGGCCUACCAAGGCGUCGACGGGUAGCCGGCCUGAGAGGGUGUACGGCCACAUUGGGACUGAGAUACGGCCCAGACUCCUACGGGAGGCAGCAGUGGGGAAUAUUGCACAAUGGGCGCAAGACUGAUGCAGCGACGCCGCGUGGGGGAUGAAGGCCUUCGGGUUGUAAACUCCUUUCGCUAGGGACGAAGCUUUUUUGUGACGGUACCUGGAGAAGAAGCACCGGCUAACUACGUG
This 468-nucleotide ribosomal RNA is filed under the name uncultured bacterium. RNAcentral describes it as "partial 16S ribosomal RNA". It matches the Rfam family "Bacterial small subunit ribosomal RNA", at positions 28 to 507 of the family's 1533-position model. The record is from RNAcentral.